UUUUAUCAAGCCUAAGGGCACUGGCUGGCCAGUGUUUACAACCACAAAAGGAUCAAUGCCUCUACCCUGGUUCGUACAGAAGUGACGAAUGGAGGAGGAAGACGGUCGCGGGAAUGGGUUGGUUGGGCUUAAAGGUCUACUAGGCCUCCACUCUCUCUCAAAUAAAAAACAAGAUGACUUUUAAAUAAUCCAAACCAUUUUUGAAUUAAAAGCCAGGGUAGGAAAAUAUAAA
This 232-nucleotide long non-coding RNA is filed under the name Hordeum vulgare. Its description in RNAcentral is "long non-coding RNA (HVUL_LNC018931)". The record is from RNAcentral. Lineage: Eukaryota; Viridiplantae; Streptophyta; Magnoliopsida; Poales; Poaceae.